AAUCAGCUGACGAGUCCCAACUAGGACGAAACACACGUUCUGGGU
Molecule: non-coding RNA, 45 nt
Filed under: Schistosoma margrebowiei
Lineage: Eukaryota; Metazoa; Platyhelminthes; Trematoda; Strigeidida; Schistosomatidae
Source: RNAcentral